ACUCCGCCAAUGCAACUUCUCGCAUUGCCGGUCCCAAGCCCGAGUAAAGGAGGAGGGAAAAGGGCGUCAAGGUGAGUUGUGUCAUUUUCUUCCAUUUUAUUUUACAUACAACGUUAAUCUUCAGGUCACUCGACUAAUUUUCAAGUCACUUGACUAAUUUUCAGGUCACUUGACAUAGUCGGCAUGGCCCACGCUCUGUUUGGUUGUAAGUGAAAUUGAUUUAUGUACUUUCCCUAUUUCAAAUGUUAUGGUCAACAAGAAUAAAGCAGCAUGAAUGUUGGGAUAGGACAUUUGCAAGCUGGUACUCAAUUGGUGGACAGCUUGGAUCUUGUACUUGUGUCUGAUUGACACAAAUGGGAGUAUGUAGAUGGCAUGCCUUAUACUUGUGUGUCUGAUUAGUAAACCUCUACAAGCAAUACCUGCCCUGGACAUGGAUUUCUUGAUUGCAACGUGUGUUUGCUAUCAUGCAAGGCCUAUGCAUGGACAAGACUGGGCAUGGAUAUGGAUUAAGAAAUGAUUUAUUUUAAUAAGGAGUUUGAUGUAUUUUAAGAAGGGAGUUGAUAUCGUCCACACCCACCAUUUUUCCAAAUGGAAAAAUUGACUGUAUGCUAGUGACAAAGGUGGGUGUAAAUCGUGGCUACUCCCUUUUUGAAAUUAUUGCUUGGUAGCUUCAUCUGUCAAACAUACUUCCUUAACAUGGGUUUUAUAAGAUAGUUCCAGAAUAUUCUUGUACUAUACUGCAUUCGGUUCCACAAGAAAGAGGUGUUCAACUAUCGGGCCUAUCUUUCUCUCAGUUUUAACAUGUUAAAAACUGAAUCAGCAAACUAAGAAUGCAACCGGUGCAGUAAAUUGCAGUUAAUUUGAAUGGAAAAAAAAAAUCUGUUUUGUACAUAGGAAGCCAGGUUGCAUACACUAAAAUGAUUAUAUAAAAAAAUUUGUUCAUGCACUAGAUGAUAACUAAACCAACCAAUAUUCUACAUUCCUGUAUUGUACAAUGAUACUGCAUUUCUCAGUUUAGUUCGUGUAGUCUUUUGUUGUGCAACUGUUGAUCUCUAAUUUGCUUCCAACAGAAAUUGUCUAUUGCGAAGGAAAGCAAUCUUCUGAUUGCCCAAUGCGAAUGCAGGUAUCGUGGCACUUGACAGUUUCAUUGGGUUGUACAAGAGUUUUGUAGUUAAUGCAUUGAAGAAUCUCCCAAACAGCAGAUGCAUUGAGGUCAGAAAGCCUCGAGCUUGUGCAACCCAACUCUCUUACAAUCCAACACAGGCCUGGAUAGAAGGUGUGCAAUAUCCAAGCUUUCCAUCAGGUGGUUCCCCACUUCUUGAUGCCACGGUCCAAAAAUCAGGCAAGUCCACUCCAUAUGCUUAUUCAAAGUGAAAGUAACUAUAUAGAGUGUAGGCUCAGGGGUCCACAAUGCUUACAUGGAUGCAUGAUCAAAGCUGCUCAUCAGUUUUAUCCUUGAAGAAAAAGGGAAGAAAAAUCUGUCCACAUAUUUAUAAAAAAAAAAAAAUUCAUAGCUACUCUCCUCCAUCUACUUAUUACAGGUAUUUAUUGAUUCCUUUUAUUUUAUAUCAAAUUUGUUUUUUGGUUAUUUUAU
Molecule: long non-coding RNA, 1594 nt
Organism: Magnolia sinica
Lineage: Eukaryota; Viridiplantae; Streptophyta; Magnoliopsida; Magnoliales; Magnoliaceae
Exons: 4
Source: RefSeq, a predicted model, not a curated record